This 157-nucleotide small RNA is filed under the name Gopherus agassizii (Agassiz's desert tortoise). Its description in RNAcentral is "TUC338 (ENSGAGG00000012390.1)". The record is from RNAcentral. Lineage: Eukaryota; Metazoa; Chordata; Testudines; Testudinidae.
UUGAUAGCAACGGAGACUGAAAUCCUCAAUUUAUUCACAGAACAGGUAUGCAGUAGCCAGUGGAAGCUUGUACACACUUCCCCAGGGCUUUGGAAGGACCAGUCUAGAGUUGAGAGUGUGGUUCAGCCUCCAUGUCCAUUCUCAGUCUUAAGACUUG